Podarcis lilfordi (Lilford's wall lizard) is the source of this 80-nucleotide non-coding RNA. The record is from the annotation of a GenBank genome assembly. NCBI's taxonomy places the organism in Eukaryota, Metazoa, Chordata, Lepidosauria, Squamata, Lacertidae.
GCAAUCAUAGCUCUGUUGGUAGAGCAUGAGACUCUUACAAUCUCAGGGUGGUGGGUUCAAGUCCCACAUUGGGCAUUGCA